RNAcentral lists this ribosomal RNA (380 nucleotides) under uncultured Ralstonia sp. RNAcentral describes it as "bacterial SSU rRNA". It matches the Rfam family "Bacterial small subunit ribosomal RNA", at positions 30 to 411 of the family's 1533-position model. Lineage: Bacteria; Pseudomonadati; Pseudomonadota; Betaproteobacteria; Burkholderiales; Burkholderiaceae. The record is from RNAcentral.
UGAACGCUGGCGGCAUGCCUUACACAUGCAAGUCGAACGGCAGCACGGGUGCUUGCACCUGGUGGCGAGUGGCGAACGGGUGAGUAAUACAUCGGAAUGUACCUUGUAGUGGGGGAUAGCUCGGCGAAAGCCGGAUUAAUACCGCAUACGACCUGAGGGUGAAAGUGGGGACCGCAAGGCCUCAUGCUAUAGGAGCGGCCGAUGUCUGAUUAGCUAGUUGGUGGGGUAAAGGCCCACCAAGGCGACGAUCAGUAGCUGGUCUGAGAGGACGAUCAGCCACACUGGGACUGAGACACGGCCCAGACUCCUACGGGAGGCAGCAGUGGGGAAUUUUGGACAAUGGGCGAAAGCCUGAUCCAGCAAUGCCGCGUGUGUGAAGA